This 305-nucleotide ribosomal RNA is filed under the name uncultured bacterium. RNAcentral describes it as "partial 16S ribosomal RNA". It matches the Rfam family "Bacterial small subunit ribosomal RNA", at positions 336 to 656 of the family's 1533-position model. The record is from RNAcentral.
UUCCUACGGGGGGCAGCAGUGGGGAAUAUUGCACAAUGGGGGGAACCCUGAUGCAGCGACGCCGCGUGAGUGAAGAAGUAUUUCGGUACGUAAAGCUCUAUCAGCAGGGAAGAAAAAAGGACGGUACCUGAGUAAGAAGCCCCGGCUAACUACGUGCCAGCAGCCGCGGUAAUACGUAGGGGGCAAGCGUUAUCCGGAAUUACUGGGUGUAAAGGGAGCGUAGACGGCGAUGCAAGUCUGAAGUGAAAGGCGGGGGCCCAACCCCCGGACUGCUUUGGAAACUGUAUGGCUGGAGUGCAGGAGAG